GAUUCUGGCUCAGGAUGAACGCUGGCGGCGUGCCUAACACAUGCAAGUCGAACGGAGCUUACUUGAAGGAGACUUCGGUCAACGGAAGGGUAAGCUUAGUGGCGGACGGGUGAGUAACGCGUGGAGAACCUGCCCUGUACAGGGGGAUAACAGUGAGAAAUCACUGCUAAUACCGCAUAAGCGCACAGUACCGCAUGGUACAGUGUGAAAAACUCCGGUGGUACAGGAUGGCUCCGCGUUGGAUUAGCCAGUUGGCGGGGUAACGGCCCACCAAAGCGACGAUCCAUAGCCGGCCUGAGAGGGUGAACGGCCACAUUGGGACUGAGACACGGCCCAGACUCCUACGGGAGGCAGCAGUGGGGAAUAUUGCACAAUGGGGGAAACCCUGAUGCAGCCGACGCCGCGUGAAGGAAGAAGUAUCUCGGUAUGUAAACUUCUAUCAGCAGGGAAGAUGAUGACGGUACCCGACUAAGAAGCCCCGGCUAACUACGUGCCAGCAGCAGC
This 504-nucleotide ribosomal RNA is filed under the name uncultured bacterium. RNAcentral's name for it is "bacterial SSU rRNA". It matches the Rfam family "Bacterial small subunit ribosomal RNA", at positions 15 to 518 of the family's 1533-position model. The record is from RNAcentral.